AAUAUUUCACAAUGGGGAAAACCCUGAUGCAGCAACGCCGCGUGAGCGAUGAAGGCCUUCGGGACGUACCGCUCUGUCCUAAGAGAAGAAUAAUGACGGUACCUUACGAGGAAGCCCCGGCUAACUACGUGCCAGCAGCCGCGGUAAUACGUAGGGGGCAAGCGUUAUCCGGAAUCACUGGGCGUAAAGGGUGCGUAGGCGGCCAAUAAAGUCAGGGGUGAAAGGCUACGGCUUAACCGUAGUAAGCCUUUGAAACUUAAUGGCUUGAGUGCAGGAGAGGUAAGUGGAAUUCCUAGUGUAGCGGUGAAAUGCGUAGAUAUUAGGAGGAACACCAGUGGCGAAGGCGACUUACUGGACUGUAACUGACGCUGAGGCACGAAAGCGUGGGGAGCGAACAGG
Molecule: ribosomal RNA, 399 nt
Filed under: uncultured bacterium
Lineage: Bacteria
Description: partial 16S ribosomal RNA
Rfam family: Bacterial small subunit ribosomal RNA
Source: RNAcentral